AUGCUCCUCACGAAGCCCCAGCUCUCUUCCUCCCUGCUCGCAUCCACGCCGCUCUUUAACCCCACAUCCAAUCCCAACCACGCCAGGCCAAUCGCCGCCUCCCCCUCCCCCCGCCGCCGCCUCCGCAUCUCGCCGGGGGCGACGGCGCUCAGCCGCGUCGACGUGCUCUCGGAGGCGCUCCCCUUCAUCCAGCGCUUCAAGGGCAAGACGGUGGUGGUCAAGUACGGCGGCGCCGCGAUGAAGUCCCCCGAGCUCCAGUCCUCCGUGAUCCGCGACCUCGUCCUCCUCUCCUGCGUCGGCCUCCGCCCCAUCCUCGUCCACGGCGGCGGGCCCGAGAUCAACUCCUGGCUGCUCCGCGUCGGCGUCGAGCCGCAGUUCCGCAACGGCCUCCGCGUCACCGACGCGCUCACCAUGGAGGUCGUCGAGAUGGUGCUCGUUGGCAAGGUCAACAAGAAUCUCGUCUCCCUCAUCAACCUCGCCGGCGGCACCGCCGUCGGCCUCUGCGGCAAGGACGCGCGCCUCAUCACCGCGCGCCCCUCCCCCAACGCCGCAGCCCUUGGCUUCGUUGGCGAAGUCGCGCGGGUGGACGCCACGGUCCUCCACCCCAUCAUCGCCUCUGGCCACAUCCCGGUCAUUGCCACCGUUGCCGCCGACGAGACAGGGCAGGCCUACAACAUCAACGCGGAUACGGCGGCAGGUGAGAUCGCCGCUGCGGUAGGCGCCGAGAAAUUGCUACUGCUCACAGAUGUGUCUGGGAUACUGGCGGACCGUAAUGACCCUGGGAGCCUGGUGAAGGAGAUUGAUAUCUCUGGGGUGCGGCAGAUGGUAUCUGAUGGGCAGGUAGCUGGUGGAAUGAUCCCAAAGGUGGAGUGCUGCGUGCGAGCUCUCGCCCAGGGUGUGCACACUGCAAGUAUCAUCGAUGGGCGUGUCCCGCACUCGCUGUUGCUCGAGAUUCUCACAGAUGAGGGCACUGGCACAAUGAUCACUGGCUAA
RNAcentral lists this ribosomal RNA (993 nucleotides) under Triticum aestivum (bread wheat). Its description in RNAcentral is "partial small subunit ribosomal RNA". Lineage: Eukaryota; Viridiplantae; Streptophyta; Magnoliopsida; Poales; Poaceae. The record is from RNAcentral.